AUGUGGUGUAGCCUAUGGCCUAUGUUUAUUGUUAUUCAAGUACAGUAUUGUUGGAUAAACCAUGAUUCGCCCUUCCUGGGCCUGCUACUUUUCAACUCGCCGUCUGCCCCUCAUGGGUGCUCUUUCCUAGGUUUGGUGACGAGAGAGCCUUGCAGAGGUGCUGCUGCUGGGAUUUGCUGUUGUAUUCAUGUUCUAGUAACCGUGGUUCGUGUAAGCAUGCCUGAACUUGGCAGCACUGCUCCUCCCUCGUUGAUUUAUAGUAUACUUAUUCUCCAUGUGAGAUUUCCUGUUAGCCGGAUUAAAGUCGUUGUAAUCAUGGUAUUGCUUGAUUUUCUCCCCAAAUUUUUUGGGGCAAACAUUGCCCGAAAACUGUCCUGUAAAAUAAGCUCAGGCACAAUGAAACAGUCCGGAGAUUUUCAUGCCAAAUGA
RNAcentral lists this ribosomal RNA (429 nucleotides) under Triticum aestivum (bread wheat). RNAcentral describes it as "partial small subunit ribosomal RNA". The record is from RNAcentral. Lineage: Eukaryota; Viridiplantae; Streptophyta; Magnoliopsida; Poales; Poaceae.